This 908-nucleotide ribosomal RNA is filed under the name Fusarium stercicola. RNAcentral describes it as "partial large subunit ribosomal RNA". It matches the Rfam family "Eukaryotic large subunit ribosomal RNA", at positions 1 to 937 of the family's 3401-position model. The record is from RNAcentral. Lineage: Eukaryota; Fungi; Ascomycota; Sordariomycetes; Hypocreales; Nectriaceae.
GUUGACCUCGAAUCAGGUAGGAAUACCCGCUGAACUUAAGCAUAUCAAUAAGCGGAGGAAAAGAAACCAACAGGGAUUGCCCCAGUAACGGCGAGUGAAGCGGCAACAGCUCAAAUUUGAAAUCUGGCUCUCGGGCCCGAGUUGUAAUUUGUAGAGGAUGCUUUUGGUGAGGUGCCUUCCGAGUUCCCUGGAACGGGACGCCAUAGAGGGUGAGAGCCCCGUCUGGUUGGACACCGACCCUCUGUAAAGCUCCUUCGACGAGUCGAGUAGUUUGGGAAUGCUGCUCUAAAUGGGAGGUAUAUGUCUUCUAAAGCUAAAUACCGGCCAGAGACCGAUAGCGCACAAGUAGAGUGAUCGAAAGAUGAAAAGAACUUUGAAAAGAGAGUUAAAAAGUACGUGAAAUUGUUGAAAGGGAAGCGCUUGUGACCAGACUUGGGCUUGGUUGAUCAUCCGGGGUUCUCCCCGGUGCACUCUUCCGGCCCAGGCCAGCAUCAGUUCGCCCUGGGGGACAAAGGCUUCGGGAAUGUGGCUCUCUCCGGGGAGUGUUAUAGCCCGCUGCGUAAUACCCUGUGGCGGACUGAGGUUCGCGCAUUCGCAAGGAUGCUGGCGUAAUGGUCAUCAGUGACCCGUCUUGAAACACGGACCAAGGAGUCGUCUUCGUAUGCGAGUGUUCGGGUGUCAAACCCCUACGCGAAAUGAAAGUGAACGCAGGUGAGAGCUUCGGCGCAUCAUCGACCGAUCCUGAUGUUAUCGGAUGGAUUUGAGUAAGAGCAUACGGGGCCGGACCCGAAAGAAGGUGAACUAUGCCUGUGUAGGGUGAAGCCAGAGGAAACUCUGGUGGAGGCUCGCAGCGGUUCUGACGUGCAAAUCGAUCGUCAAACAUGGGCAUGGGGGCGAAAGACUAAUCG